GAUUUAUGAAGAGGUGACCCGAAUUUAAAGACAGUGUUGGAUGCAAACCGAUUUGCCAGCAAUUGCGUCACCAUCAAGUGAAAUACGUACAGAUGGGAUUCGCGUCUGAAAAACCAAGGCAAGAGGCCGUGGAAGGGACGGAGGUGGAACAGGACUGGACCAGAACAGGACAAGUGGUAGUUGCUGAGUACUGGGCAAAUGGAGCAGGAGUCAAGACCUCUGCAGCAGGUUGUGGAGUUUUACAGAACACGCCAAGUAGAGGAAUCCAUGCCUGCACCUGUAACGGGGAUCCUUCAGAAGGGAAGGCUGAGAAGAGCAAGGACGGACAAGCCAGUGUUCUUGUGGUGGCUGAACACACACUUCAGCUCCUCUCACCUUAUGGCCAAGCUGCUUCAUUGUCUGAAACACAAACACAGCAUCUGUCAGAGCCAAGGGGGCACCUGGGAGCCGGGUUUCCAGAACCCCUAGCCUGGGUGUUUCAUACUGACCACACCCCAAGGAACCUGUAUAGAGCUGCCCGCUUACACACAUGGACCAUGACCACUGUUCUUCAGGAAUACGGACUCUUGCACACCUGGCAUGGUUUUGUGAGUGGAGGCAUCUCUGCACAGAAAUCUUACUGUUAUGCCUGUCCGACCCUGGUCUCCUCUCUCCAGUCUCCUGUGCCCACAUUCCAGGCUGUUCUAGGCACUCCUUUCUGGGAUGCCUGGGAGCAUCUUGAGACCUCACUGGAUGCAGGCCUGCUGAGAUGCUCUGGCCGUGUGGGUGGUCUGCUUGGCCUCGGGAUGGGCCCUCCCCACAGACUGAGCAGGCAUUGCAGGCAUGGUGAGGUCUGCUGGUGGCUGCCACCAGUCAUGCUUUUAGUAUUUUUUUUUUUCAACAAUACAUUUUAAAAAUGUUUGCAUAACUCUAGGUUCACAAAAAAAAUUGAGCAGAAAGUAUAGAGGUUCCACAUGCUCCUUUCCCAAUCGCCCCGUCUUCUAGUUUUCUCUAUUAUUUAUAUCUUGUGGCACUUUUGUUACAAGUGAUGAGCCAAUAUUAAUAGGUUAUUAUCCACUGAAGCCCACAGCUUACCUCAGGGUUGGCUCUUGGGUCUGCACAUUCAGUGGGUCUGGACAAACAUGAACACAUGUAUCCCAGCCAGCCAUGGUGGCUCACACCUAUAGUCUCAGCACUUUGGGAGGCUGAGGCAGGCAGAUCACCUGAGGUCAGGAGUUUGAGACCAGCCUGCCCAACAUGGUGAAACCCCCAUCUCUACUAGAAAUACCAAAAAAUGAGCCAGGCAUGGUGGUGCAUGACUGCCAUCCCAGUUACCCUGGAGGCUGAGGCAUCGGGAGGUGGAGAUUGCAGUGAGCUGAGAUGGCGCUAUUACACUCCAGUCUGGGUGACAGAGUAAGACUCUGUCUCCAGAAAAGAAAAAAAGACAUGUGUCCCCAUCAGAGUAUCAUACAGAGUAGUUUCGCCACCCUGAAAACACUCUGUGGUCUUCCUAUUCACCCCUCCCCUCAGCCCCAGAGACCACUGAUCUUUUGACCAUCUCCGUGGUUUUGCCUUUUCCGGAAUAUCAUGUGGUCGGAAUCAUGCACCAUGUAGCCUCUGCAGAUGGGCUUCUUUCACUGAGCAACACGUGCUGAUGGUUCCUCCGUGUCUUUUCAAGGCUUGAUGCCAAACUGCCUUCCAAAGUGGCUGCAGCGUUUUGCAUUCCCACCAUCAGUGAAUGAGAGUUCCAGUUGCUCCCCAUCCUCACCAGCAUUUGGUGUCAUCAUUGUUUUGGAUUUUAGCCAUUUCAUAGGUGUGCAGAUGUAUCUCCUUAUUUUAAUCUAAUAAACAUCUUAUUGAAGAAGAAUGCACAAGCAGAAAUGUUCACAGAUGAAAAGGAAUAGCUUUUUCAGCAGCUACCCACUGGAUACAGCCCUGUGUCCAGCACCCAGGCCAAGAAACAGACACUAGCAGGGUCCAGUGACCCCCUCAGGACCCAUAUAGAACCACUUCCAAUAAUUCAUUCUUGUCUUAGGUAAUUUGCCUCAGGAAAGGAGAGAGAGAGAGAGAGAUCAAAAGACAGAGGGUCUCACAGAAUGAAUGAAGAAACUAAGGAAUAACAAAGCAGAAAUGUCAGCUCUUUAUGGUUGCAUUUAUUACAAAUAAUUCUGGAAACAUGUUAUUUACACAGAAAUAAAAACAGAGAUGUGUUGAUUCCGUUUGAUGACAAUGGGGCCCCCUGAGGCAAUGGAUUCAUUUAUUUGUAUGAAGGCUAAUCUGAUAAGAAUGAUUCCCCGGAGCCAUGCGCAAGAUAAGGAUUCGGAGUUGCUGGUGCUCUUUUGGCAUCUGGCCAGGACCUCCCGGCCAGUGUCACUGGAUGCACCAGCCGUCUAGCCCAACACCCAGCCUGCCAUGGGAUGGCCUCAUCUUGGCCCCUCGUCUUCAGCUGUUCUUUGGGUACUUGCUGGCAUUCUGAAGGGGACAGUCUGAAUCUAGGGAGAGGAGGGGUCUUAACAUCUGGCUGAGGAUUAUGUCAACCAUGGGGGCAGGAGGACAUGACAAGUCAUCCAGUCCUGAGCCAAGCUGAGAAGUGUCUCAGCAAGGCCAAGGUGACGGGUGAAUUUCUGCAGGUGCAAAUUUUCAAGGAGCCUAGAAUCAGGUUUUUACUAGUUUAUAAAGUCAGAAGUCUAGGCCAGGCAUGGUGGCUGAUGCCUAUAAUCCCAGCACUUUGGGAAGCCGAGCCUGGUGGAUCACUUGGGGUCAGGAGUUUGAGACCAGCCUGGCCAACAGGGUGAAACUCCUUUUCUACUAAAAACACAAAAAUUAGCCAGGCGUAGUGGCAGGUGCCUGCAAUCCCGGCUACUGAGGAGGCUGGCCGUGACCUGCUGUGUAGGUUUUGAUUAUCCUCAGCUGGAAACAAUGGCAACCCCACAUCACAGUAGCUUAAAGAAGGUAGGUUUUGUGUUUUUCUCUUUCACGCUAAAGUCUGGAGGAAGGCAGGCCAGGGUAGAGAGGUGCAUCUCCCUCAAGCCAUCCUGAGAUGAGGCUCCUUCUGCCUGUGGCUCUCCCACGUGGGGCCUCUGUCCCCAGGAACCUUCACAAGAUUGGCCCCUUCAGCUUCAGCCCUCACAUCUGCCAUUUCAGCCAGCACGAGAGAGGAGGACUGAGAGGAGGAAACCCAGGGGUUUGGGCCCACGGCACUUCUGUUUUUGAAGGAAGGGUCCCCCACACCGUGUGUAGUCUUGUUGGCCAGGGUGCAAUCACACAGCCACAGCUAGCUGCAAGAGAGGCAGGAAGUGCAGUUUCAUGCCUGGGUGGCCACAUCCCUGACCAAACACGGGUGUUUAUUACUGUGGCGUGACAGCAGACAGGGCGGGAAGCCACGGUCCUCGCCACGCCAUCCAUGCACUCCUAGGGUGCAGCUCAGCGCCAGAAUUGUUGAGGUUCUCGGUAAACAAGCAAAGCUCAAAUGGGCGAAUGAGUAAAUGAAUGAAUGGCCAGGUGGAGCCGUUCAGACACGGGGCUUCUUUCUGGAGGGGGUCUCAUGGGACUAGUCUCUGUGAAGCAGCCGCAGAGAGCCCUGCUCUGACUGGAGUGUGUGAGGAGGGCUUUGCCUGUUUUGGUUGAACAGAAGCCCCGGGGUUGGAGGCAUGAGGUGGCCUCCAGGGAGGGAUUAUUCCUCCCCGCGUCCUUGCCUCUCCCAUCUGAGCAUCCAGCCCCCGCCUCUGACUUCUGCAGCCCCGGCCCUUCCCAGAGUGUCAGCAGGUAAGCCCGUCCUUGGUCUGCAUUUCAUUUAUCCCGAGUCGGCGGGACCCUGCUUUGCAGACAGCUAUGAAGCAGGAUCCUCUUUUACAAUCCAAUUAGCAGCAGACCCCCCAGGUAAUGGGGAGGCUGGAGGGCUUUGCAGGGGAGGUCAAGAUGCUUGGUAUCUGGAGAGAAGGAAAGAAGGAAAGAGACAAGGGGAGAAGGGCGGGGAGGGUGACUGGAUGUCCUUGCAGGGCCAGAGGAGGGAUGCUCUUGAACUUGGCCAGACCAAGAAUGAAAGAGGCAGGAAGGGCGGGAGCCACCCACACACUUCCCCAUGUGGCAUCGCAGCUGCGACUCCUUCAGCUCUUCUCAGGGCCUCAACACGCUAAGGACUGGUGUUCCUCUUCCCCUGGCAAAAAAAUGGGGAGGCGUCUUUGUCUCCACCCCCAGCAGGGGUAGCAGGGAGGGUAAUCUGAGUGCCGAAAGGGACUCUGAAGCUCUCAUGGCGAAACUCCUCUUUUGACGGAAGAGGAAACUGAGGUACACAGCGAGAUCCCAGAAGACUUCGGAUUAGAUGCACAACCUCUUAAUUUCCUAGUCACCGAUGGAAAUUGCGAGGUCCCCCCAGAAGGGUCUGUUUUGAAGAACGUGUCAUCUUCCCUCCAUGACAUUCGGACCACGAGCGAAGCGCAGUGUUGGCUGUCGGGAUUCCACCCGCGCCAUCGGGAGGCUCUGCGUGCCUUGCUUUAUUAUCUCCUCCCCCGUGUUUAUAUCCUCACAGGGUAUCCUCUGAGCAACCACUCAUUCCCCCUCGAGAUGAGGAAACUGAAGUACCAAUGAGUUGAUAAGUAACUUUCUUGAAAAAAACCCCUUCCGACCCUGGGACCUCCCACCCUGGUCUCCUCUGGAGGCUGCUGCAGCUCCCCGGAGGCACUGGCCUCCUACGUCGUGGUGUUUUUCAUAGCUUUUGCACUGCAGGCGGCUCUUCCUCUGCUGACGACCGGCAUUAAAGGCACCAGGAAGGCAUCGCCAAAAAAAUAAGCUCCUUUGAGUCUCAAAGAACUGAGUGACCUGCCUCCCUCAAAAUCAUAGAGAAGGCUGGACUGAGGGAGGGUAGUCAGCCUGGCUUCCAGCCAAGAAGGGGGACACUGACUGCAGAUACUCUGAGCUUCAUUUUUUUUUUUUUUUUUAAGAUAGAGUCUCCUUCUGGCAUCCAGGCUGGAAUGCAGUGGCAUGAUCUUGGCUCACUGCAGCCUCUGCCUCCCAGGUUCAAGUAAUUCUCCUGCCUCAGCCUCUCAAGUAGCUGGGAUUACAGGUGCCCACAUCCAUACCUGGCU
Long non-coding RNA from Callithrix jacchus (white-tufted-ear marmoset), 5063 nucleotides. Lineage: Eukaryota; Metazoa; Chordata; Mammalia; Primates; Cebidae. The record is from Ensembl.